CGUUCUAUGGCCGAACUGGUGAAGGCAUCGCCGAUUACAGGCGAUGGUGUGGGUUCGAGUCCCGCUGGAACAG
Molecule: transfer RNA, 73 nt
Filed under: Operophtera brumata (winter moth)
Lineage: Eukaryota; Metazoa; Arthropoda; Insecta; Lepidoptera; Geometridae
Rfam family: tRNA
About the family: Transfer RNA (tRNA) molecules are approximately 80 nucleotides in length.
Source: Rfam by way of RNAcentral